This 216-nucleotide ribosomal RNA is filed under the name Glomeromycotina sp. RNAcentral describes it as "partial small subunit ribosomal RNA". The stretch from base 40 to 216 matches the Rfam family "Eukaryotic small subunit ribosomal RNA", at positions 686 to 864 of the family's 1831-position model. The record is from RNAcentral. Lineage: Eukaryota; Fungi; Glomeromycota.
GGGUCAGUAGGUUGGUCGUGCCACCGGUACGUACUGGUCUCACUGAUUCCUCCUUCCUGAAGAACCGUAAUGCCAUUAAUUUGGUGUUGCGGGGAAACAGGACUGUUACUUUGAAGAGAUUAGAGUGUUUAAAGCAAGCUAACGCUUGAAUACAUUAGCAUGGAAUAAUGAAAUAGGACGAUCGAUCCUAUUUUGUUGGUCUCUAGGAUUGACGUA